RNAcentral lists this ribosomal RNA (466 nucleotides) under uncultured bacterium. RNAcentral's name for it is "partial 16S ribosomal RNA". It matches the Rfam family "Bacterial small subunit ribosomal RNA", at positions 28 to 507 of the family's 1533-position model. The record is from RNAcentral.
GAUGAACGCUGGCGGCGUGCUUAACACAUGCAAGUCGAACGGAAAGGCUCCUGCUUGCCGGGGUACUCGAGUGCCGAACGGGUGAGUAACACGCGGGUGAACUGCCCCGCACUUAGGGAUAAGCCUGGGAAACUGGGUCUAAUACCGGAUAGGACGAUGUUUUGGAUGCCAUUGUGGAAAGAUUUUUCGGCGUGGGAUCAGCUCGAGGCUUAUCAGCUAGUCAGUGGGGAAAUGGCAUACUAAGGGGUCGACGGGUAGCCGGCGUGUGAGGGGGUACGGCCACAUUGGGACUGAGAUACGGAGCAGACUCCUACGGGAGGCAGCAGUCGGGAGUAUUGCACAGUGGCGGCAAGCCUGAGACGACGGCGCCGGGUGGGUGAUGACGGCCUACGAGUUGUAAACUCCUUUCUCUGGACAUGAAGCGCUAGUGACGGUACCUGGAGAAGAAGCACCGGCUAACUACGUG